AGAAAAGCAUAGAAGAGGAUAAGGCAAUUUGGCUUUUUUAUUGCAGAGAGGGAUAUAAGGGUGAAAGUAUCCUAUAAAAACGAAUUGUUACCACCUCGGAGCUGAUAUUCUGAAAUUAGUAAGAAUAUCCGGUAGCACCGUUAUCGCACUAGAGAUAUCGGCAACGAUAAACUAGGGUGGAACCACGUGAGCAAGCUCUCGUCCCUUGG
Molecule: non-coding RNA, 209 nt
Filed under: Megasphaera sp.
Lineage: Bacteria; Bacillati; Bacillota; Negativicutes; Veillonellales; Veillonellaceae
Description: T-box sequence
Rfam family: T-box leader
About the family: Uncharged tRNA acts as the effector for transcription antitermination of genes in the T-box leader family. T-boxes are found upstream of many aminoacyl-tRNA synthetase genes and some amino acid biosynthetic genes usually in Gram-positive bacteria.
Source: RNAcentral